UACGUAGGAGGCAAGCGUUGUCCGGAAUCACUGGGCGUAAAGCGCGUGUAGGCGGAUCGCUAAGUCUGUGGUGAAAGCGCCUGGCUCAACCGGGCGAGGUCCAUGGAAACUAGCGGUCUGGAGGCCGGUAGAGGGGGGUGGAAUUCCAGGUGUAGCGGUGAAAUGCGUAGAUAUCUGGAGGAACACCGGUGGCGAAGGCGGCAUCCUGGACCAAUUCUGACGCUGAGGAGCGAAAGCCAGGGGAGCAAACGGG
RNAcentral lists this ribosomal RNA (253 nucleotides) under uncultured bacterium. RNAcentral's name for it is "partial 16S ribosomal RNA". It matches the Rfam family "Bacterial small subunit ribosomal RNA", at positions 524 to 776 of the family's 1533-position model. The record is from RNAcentral.